Molecule: long non-coding RNA, 265 nt
Organism: Myiozetetes cayanensis
Lineage: Eukaryota; Metazoa; Chordata; Aves; Passeriformes; Tyrannidae
Exons: 3
Source: RefSeq, a predicted model, not a curated record
AAAGGUUUUUCCUCCAAGGUUUUCUUGGAAUUGGAGCUGUUUGGGAAGGGAAUUCCUCACUGAACUCUCCAAAGGUUCUUCCUCCAAGGUUUUCUUGGAAUUGGAGCUUUUUGGGAAGGAAAUUCCUCACUCAACUCCCCAAAAAGGAUCUUUAUCCAAGGUUUUCUUGGAAUUGGAGCUUUUUGGACUCCCAAAAGGAUCUUUUUCCAAGGUUUUCUUGGAAUUGGAGCUGUUUGGGAAGGGAAAAGGGAGCAAAAUCCAGGGG